Molecule: ribosomal RNA, 393 nt
Filed under: uncultured bacterium
Lineage: Bacteria
Description: partial 16S ribosomal RNA
Rfam family: Bacterial small subunit ribosomal RNA
Source: RNAcentral
AUACGGAGGAUGCAAGCGUUAUCCGGAUUUAUUGGGUUUAAAGGGUGCGUAGGCGGACAGUUAAGUCAGUUGUGAAAGUUUGCGGCUCAACCGUAAAAUUGCAGUUGAUACUGGUUGUCUUGAGUACAGUAGAGGUGGGCGGAAUUCGUGGUGUAGCGGUGAAAUGCUUAGAUAUCACGAAGAACUCCGAUUGCGAAGGCAGCUAACUGGACUGCAACUGACACUGAUGCUCGAAAGUGUGGGUAGCAAACAGGAUUAGAUACCCUGGUAGUCCACACAGUAAACGAUGAAUACUCGCUGUUUGCGAUAUACAGUAAGCGGCCAAGCGAAAGCAUUAAGUAUUCCACCUGGGGAGUACGCCGGCAACGGUGAAACUCAAAGGAAUUGACGGGG